AUGGUUGUCGUCAGCUCGUGUCGUGAGAUGUUGGGUUAAGUCCCGCAACGAGCGCAACCCUUGUUGUUAAUUGCUAACAGGUUAAGCUGAGCACUUUAGCGAGACAGUCUAGGUUAACUAGGAGGAAGGUGGGGAUGACGUCAAAUCAUCAUGCCCCUUACGUUUAGGGCUACACACGUGCUACAAUGGUGAGAACAGAGAGAAGCAAGCUAGUGAUAGUGAGCAAAACUUAUAAAACUCAUCUCAGUUCGGAUUGCAGGCUGAAACUCGCCUGUAUGAAGAUGGAGUUGCUAGUAAUCGCGAAUCAGAAUGUCGCGGUGAAUACGUUCCCGGGUCUUGUACACACCGCCCGUCACACCAUGAGAGUUGGCAACACCCGAAACCUGUGGGCUAACCAUAUAGGAGGCAGCAGUCUAAGGUGGGGUCAGUGAUUGGGGUGAAGUCGUAACAAGGUAGCCGUAGGAGAACCUGCGGUUGGAUCACCUC
This 486-nucleotide ribosomal RNA is filed under the name uncultured bacterium. Its description in RNAcentral is "bacterial SSU rRNA". It matches the Rfam family "Bacterial small subunit ribosomal RNA", at positions 1045 to 1529 of the family's 1533-position model. The record is from RNAcentral.